GAUGAACGCUGGCGGCGUGCCUAAUACAUGCAAGUCGAGCGAAUGGAUUAAGAGCUUGCUCUUAUGAAGUUAGCGGCGGACGGGUGAGUAACACGUGGGUAACCUGCCCAUAAGACUGGGAUAACUCCGGGAAACCGGGGCUAAUACCGGAUAACAUUUUGAACCGCAUGGUUCGAAAUUGAAAGGCGGCUUCGGCUGUCACUUAUGGAUGGACCCGCGUCGCAUUAGCUAGUUGGUGAGGUAACGGCUCACCAAGGCAACGAUGCGUAGCCGACCUGAGAGGGUGAUCGGCCACACUGGGACUGAGACACGGCCCAGACUCCUACGGGAGGCAGCAGUAGGGAAUCUUCCGCAAUGGACGAAAGUCUGACGGAGCAACGCUGCGUGAGUGAUGAAGGCUUUCGGAUCGUAAAACUCUGUUGUUAGGGAAGAACAAGUGCUAGUUGAAUAAGCUGGCACCUUGACGGUACCUAACCAGAAAGCCACGGCUAACUACGUGCCAGCCGCCGCUGUAA
RNAcentral lists this ribosomal RNA (515 nucleotides) under uncultured bacterium. RNAcentral's name for it is "partial 16S ribosomal RNA". It matches the Rfam family "Bacterial small subunit ribosomal RNA", at positions 28 to 523 of the family's 1533-position model. The record is from RNAcentral.